GCCGUCGACAGAUGCCCCCCCUACUACGCCUGGUGGCGAGGACUCCCCGCCCGCGCCGUCCAGUGACACCUCUCCGACCACCCCUGGUGGAGGCUACUACCCGCCCACUCCGUCCAGUGGCACUGCUCCAACGACGCCUGUGACCGGAGACUGCCCACCCUCACCGUCCGCCGGCACGUCUCCUACCACCCCUGGCGGUGGCUAUUACCCGCCCUCGCCGUCGACAGGCGCCACCCCUACAACGCCUGGUGGCGGGGACACUCCGCCCGCGCCGUCCAGUGACACCUCUCCGAACACCCCUGGCGGAGGCUACUACCCGCCCACUCCGUCCAGCGGCACUGCCCCAACCACGCCUGGAACUGGAAACUGCCCGCCCUCACCGUCCGCCGGCACCUCUCCGACCACCCCUGGCGGAGGCUACUACCCGCCCACUCCGUCCAGCGGCACUGCCCCAACCACGCCUGGAACUGGAGACUGCCCGCCCUCACCGUCCGCCGGCACCUCUCCUACCACACCUGGCGGUGGCUACUACCCGCCCUCGCCAGCCAGCGGCACUGGGCCUACCACGCCUGGUGG
Molecule: long non-coding RNA, 576 nt
Filed under: Hordeum vulgare
Lineage: Eukaryota; Viridiplantae; Streptophyta; Magnoliopsida; Poales; Poaceae
Description: long non-coding RNA (HVUL_LNC003699)
Source: RNAcentral